RNAcentral lists this unclassified non-coding RNA (259 nucleotides) under Umbelopsis sp. RNAcentral describes it as "partial contains small subunit ribosomal RNA, internal transcribed spacer 1, and 5.8S ribosomal RNA". The stretch from base 1 to 46 matches the Rfam family "Eukaryotic small subunit ribosomal RNA", at positions 1786 to 1831 of the family's 1831-position model. Lineage: Eukaryota; Fungi; Mucoromycota; Umbelopsidomycetes; Umbelopsidales; Umbelopsidaceae. The record is from RNAcentral.
AAGUCGUAACAAGGUUUCCGUAGGUGAACCUGCGGAAGGAUCAUUAUAAAGAUUAAUCUUUCCAAACCGAAAGAUCUUUUCCUUUGUGCUGGCUUUGAACCAAUGUAAUUUUAGGACUUUAAAAUGGUUUCGAUUUUGUAAAAAGAGCGAGCCGGUCCCAAAAAACAUUAUCUCAUCCUUAUGAAAAUUUUCUGAACUUACACAAGUGAUUUUAAUAAUCUGUUUAAAACAACUUUCAACAACGGAUCUCUUGGUUCUC